This is a long non-coding RNA of Aplysia californica (California sea hare), 896 nucleotides long. RefSeq lists it as uncharacterized. The transcript is spliced from 2 exons. The record is from RefSeq and is a predicted model, not a curated record. NCBI's taxonomy places the organism in Eukaryota, Metazoa, Mollusca, Gastropoda, Aplysiida, Aplysiidae.
ACCGAGGAGCGAACGGAGGAAAGGUCAGCGCAGGAAGAAAAUCUGGGAGCAGCAGACUUUCUGGGAUUUUUGCUUCACAUUCAGGGAGGAAAAGGAAAACAGAGAGGAGCUGAAACCUUUUAAACUUAACAACAAACAGCGAGGGACAGAACGAGAAGUGGAGAACCACAGACAACAGAAGCCCUCCCCUUUGGUCCGUGAGGUAACCCGAUCCCUCUCUGUUGCCGACCCCCUCCGACAAGGCCAGAUCCGGGUGGACUGGACACAAAGGCCCAGGUAUCUCGUGUCCGAACAGAGCCCGUCACAACAACAAGACAAACGCCAACAGCGCAGACCGUUCUCCACUCCCUUUUGUCUUCGCAAGAGCCUCACGUGAGUUUGCUAGUAGUACUUCAUCGUCCCUCUUCGAUGAUCAGUCAGAGUCAUAGUCAUGUUAUAAUUUUUUCAUGAAACUCCUAAUACGACAUCACGAGGUCGUGUUCGUCAGAGUGACGAUUCGUGACCUGGAGCUAUAAUAUUGUGUUAUCUCUUUUAGAUCCCCACGAACGUAGAACCCUUUAGCUCUAAGGCCAGUGUUUGUAUUGGUAAAGGACUCUUGGGGAAUAUCACCAGCUUUCUCCCCAUAAAACACCUGUUAUCUCUACUCGCUGGGCAGACAGAAGCGCGUCGAGUGACGUACAGUGAAUCAUCGAGCCUUAAGCCCUAUCGGACCUACAAUCUCCCACAGACAAAUCGGGACACGAUGGCGUCGAUAAUUCGCGCGCGUCCGCACUCAGCCGCGAUUUGAUACCUCUAUCCUCAUUCGGUAUUGACGACAAUAAUACCCCCACAGCGAAUUGAACUCUGAACUCCCUCGUCCAUUUUCAACGAUAUAAAACGAACAAAAACAAAGAAGC